CCUACGGGUGGCAGCAGUGGGGAAUAUUGGACAAUGGGGGGAACCCUGAUCCAGCGACGCCGCGUGAGUGAAGAAGUAUUUCGGUAUGUAAAGCUCUAUCAGCAGGGAAGAAAAUGACGGUACCUGACUAAGAAGCCGCGGCUAAAUACGUGCCAGCAGCCGCGGGAAUACGUAGGGGGCAAGCGUUAUCCGGAUUUACUGGGGGGAAAGGGAGCGUAGACGGUGCAGCAAGGCUGAUGUGAAAGGUCGGGGCCCAAACCCGGGACUGCAUUGGAAACUGUAAUUCUAGAGUGUGGGAGAGGUAUGUGGAAUUCUUGGUGUAGCGGUGAAAUGCGUAGAGAUCAAGAGGAAUACCGAUUGCGAAGGCGACAUGCUAGAGCGUAACUGACGCUGAUGCGCGAAAGCGUGGGGAGCAAACAGGAUUAGAUACCCCAGUAGUC
This 440-nucleotide ribosomal RNA is filed under the name uncultured bacterium. Its description in RNAcentral is "partial 16S ribosomal RNA". It matches the Rfam family "Bacterial small subunit ribosomal RNA", at positions 338 to 795 of the family's 1533-position model. The record is from RNAcentral.